Molecule: ribosomal RNA, 533 nt
Filed under: uncultured bacterium
Lineage: Bacteria
Description: bacterial SSU rRNA
Rfam family: Bacterial small subunit ribosomal RNA
Source: RNAcentral
ACGGCGCACGGGUGCGUAACACGUGGGCAAUCUGCCCUUCGAUGGGGAAUAACCUCGCGAAAGCGAGGCUAAUUCCGCAUAACAUUCCUUGGACCUCGGUUCGAGGACUCAAAGCCGUAAGGCGUCGAAGGAGGGGCCCGCGCACGAUUAGCUAGUUGGUAGGGUAACGGCCUACCAAGGCUUUGAUCGUUAGCUGGUCUGAGAGGAUGGCCAGCCACACUGGAACUGAGACACGGUCCAGACUCCUACGGGAGGCAGCAGUGGGGAAUCUUGCACAAUGGGCGAAAGCCUGAUGCAGCGACGCCGCGUGGGGGAUGAAGCAUCUCGGUGUGUAAACCCCUUUCGACCCGGACGAAUGCCUUGCAAGAGGAGUGACGGUACGGGUAUAAGAAGCCCCGGCUAACUACGUGCCAGCAGCCGCGGUAUGACGUAGGGGGCCAGCGUUGUUCGGAAUUACUGGGUGUAAAGGGUUCGUAGGCGGUGUGGCAAGUUGGGGGUGAAAUCUCUGGGCUCAACCCAGAGGCUGCUUCCAA